CAGCCGCCGCGGUAAUACGUAGGGGGCGAGCGUUGUCCGGAGUUACUGGGCGUAAAGGGUGCGUAGGCGGCCCAUUAAGUCAGGUGUGAAAAACCCUGGCUCAACCGGGGUAUUGCACUUGAAACUGGUGGGCUUGAGUGCAGGAGAGGGAAGUGGAAUUCCUGGUGUAGCGGUGAAAUGCGUAGAUAUCAGGAGGAACACCAGUGGCGAAGGCGGCUUCCUGGCCUGUAACUGACGCUGAGGCACGAAAGCGUGGGGAGCAAACAGGAUUAGAUACCCUGGUAGUCCACGCUGUAAACGAUGGAUACUAGGUGUAGGGGGCGAUGAGCCUUCUGUGCCGAAGUUAACGCAAUAAGUAUCCCGCCUGGGGAGUACGGCCGCAAGGUUGAAACUUAAAGGAAUUGGCGGG
RNAcentral lists this ribosomal RNA (409 nucleotides) under uncultured microorganism. RNAcentral describes it as "bacterial SSU rRNA". It matches the Rfam family "Bacterial small subunit ribosomal RNA", at positions 509 to 917 of the family's 1533-position model. The record is from RNAcentral.